GUGCUCACUUUGGCAGCACACACAUUAUAAUUGGAAUGACCCGGGAAGAUUAGCAUGGCUCCUGUGCAAGGAUGACAAGCAAAUUCAUGAAACAUUCCAUAUUUUU
Molecule: small nuclear RNA, 106 nt
Filed under: Moschus moschiferus (Siberian musk deer)
Lineage: Eukaryota; Metazoa; Chordata; Mammalia; Artiodactyla; Moschidae
Source: RNAcentral